GAUGAACGCUGGCGGCGUGCCUAAUACAUGCAAGUCGAGCGAACAGAUGAGGAGCUUGCUCCUCUGACGUUAGCGGCGGACGGGUGAGUAACACGUGGAUAACCUACCUAUAAGACUGGGAUAACUUCGGGAAACCGGAGCUAAUACCGGAUAAUAUAUUGAACCGCAUGGUUCAAUAGUGAAAGACGGUUUUGCUGUCACUUAUAGAUGGAUCCGCGCCGCAUUAGCUAGUUGGUAAGGUAACGGCUUACCAAGGCAACGAUGCGUAGCCGACCUGAGAGGGUGAUCGGCCACACUGGAACUGAGACACGGUCCAGACUCCUACGGGAGGCAGCAGUAGGGAAUCUUCCGCAAUGGGCGAAAGCCUGACGGAGCAACGCCGCGUGAGUGAUGAAGGUCUUCGGAUCGUAAAACUCUGUUAUUAGGAAAGAACAAAUGUGUAAGUAACUAUGCAGGUCUUGACGGUACCUAAUCAGAAAGCCACGGCUAACUACGUG
RNAcentral lists this ribosomal RNA (497 nucleotides) under uncultured bacterium. Its description in RNAcentral is "partial 16S ribosomal RNA". It matches the Rfam family "Bacterial small subunit ribosomal RNA", at positions 28 to 507 of the family's 1533-position model. The record is from RNAcentral.